AGAGUUUGAUCAUGGCUCAGGAUGAACGCUGGCGGCGUGCCUAAUACAUGCAAGUCGAACGAGGUGCUUUUGUAGCAAUACGAGAGUAUCCUAGUGGCGAACGGGUGAGUAACGCGUUGGCGACCUACCCCAAAGUGUGGGAUAACAGUCCGAAAGGAUUGCUAAUACCGCAUGUGGUUAUUGGAUUUAGAAACCGGUAACUAAAGGAGCAAUUCGCUUUGGGAGGGACCUGCGUCCCAUCAGCUAGUUGGUGAGGUAAUGGCUCACCAAGGCGACGACGGGUAGGGGACCUGAGAGGGUGACCCCCCACAAUGGAACUGAAACACGGUCCAUACACCUACGGGUGGCAGCAGUAGGGAAUAUUGCUCAAUGGGCGAAAGCCUGAAGCAGCAACGCCGCGUGUGUGAUGAAGGCCUUCGGGUCGUAAAGCACUUUUCUGGGAGAUGAGAAAGGACAGUAUCCCAGGAAUAAGUCUCGGCUAACUACGUGCCAGCCGCCGCGGUAAUAC
RNAcentral lists this ribosomal RNA (508 nucleotides) under uncultured bacterium. RNAcentral's name for it is "bacterial SSU rRNA". It matches the Rfam family "Bacterial small subunit ribosomal RNA", at positions 8 to 526 of the family's 1533-position model. The record is from RNAcentral.